AUUUCAUCAACUGGGGAAAUGAUAUGGCACUGAUGAUAAAUUUAAGGCUUGUUUCUCAAAACAUUCGCAAUUGCCGCCUAAGAGCUUUCGCCCAGCCAGGCUUGAGAGCUAAUGCUGCUAAUUCCUUCCUUGGAUGUCUGAGCCUUGUUAACAUCCCCAUUGUUAUCAUUGUUUCUAUUUUGGUUUGUUGUCUAAAUUCCUUGUUUUUUUGCAUUGCGCAAAUGUUGACAGUUGCUGCCAAAAGUUUUUGCCCUACCAUAUUUGAGAGCUAAUAUUGCUAGAUCCUUCCUUUGAAUCUCUUAAGGCCCUUAAGCCUUCAAUGUUGAAAUUUUCUUAAAAACAUUGAUACUUGGUGCUCUGAUUUUGACAACUGUGAUGAGCCAAUUUUACAGUUACAGACCUGUAAUGACUCCUGCGGAAAUGAUCGCAUGGUCAAAGAACAUCUAAGGGACUGAGUUGUCUUUGUAUUUUGGAUCUUUGCUGUCUUGCUUCUAUUAAUGGUAUUCAAGCCUGUAAACUAAUAUCUAUGGUUCCCGGGCAAUGAGAAGAUAGUAAGCAGAAAGCAACCGCAGUCCAGCGCAGAACUUCUGACGUGAAUAGAUGAAGGAACUGUAUUGCUUUCUCUUUUGAUGAAUUUGACUGAAUCAUAACAACAAACAUGCAGUACGAUGGGAUGGGAUGUUAAAAGCAUGUAAAUGUCAAACUAUGGCUUAGCUUCUAUUUCUCAUUCCAAGUUGUUAUAACUGACAAACGAACCGCCGUUCUGGAAGUGCCCUGGCCUUAUUUGAACAAUUCAAACCACAACUCUGGAGAAGCGCAACAAGGAUAUGGAAGUUUGAUUUAUGAAACCAGGAAACCACGCCUCUUUACAAGAAGGUAGGUUCGGAAAAAUAGAGCCAGUCCUUGUAGUCUAAGCAUGGAUCGACCGUGGUGGCAGAGAAGGAAGGUCCCGAGGCUGAUGGUGUGGUGAUAGUAGAGGGAGGAGUGAUCCUUGUAUCUCCAGUUUUUUGCUCGACUGAGGUCUGACGGGGACGCUCAAUGAAAAAUUCCAUGUCUCCUUUUUUUUCCCUUGUGAAUUCAUUAAUCUUGCUGUGCAAAGGUGUCAAAUGAUGUAAAAUAUGAAGUAGCUGGUUCCCUUUGAAGUUUGGUAUGUUUACAGAACUCUGCUUAUAAUCUGAACGAAGUGCU
RNAcentral lists this ribosomal RNA (1188 nucleotides) under Triticum aestivum (bread wheat). RNAcentral describes it as "partial small subunit ribosomal RNA". The stretch from base 25 to 145 matches the Rfam family "Small nucleolar RNA SNORD14". The record is from RNAcentral. Lineage: Eukaryota; Viridiplantae; Streptophyta; Magnoliopsida; Poales; Poaceae.